AAACCAUGAUGAGGACACAUUUGCUUAAAGAGUUGAAUCUUUGCCAUGCAUCAUACAAACUUUCUCCAUCAUAUUGAUUAAACCUUGUUAACUCGUCCCUGUAUUC
This 106-nucleotide small nucleolar RNA is filed under the name Triticum aestivum (bread wheat). RNAcentral's name for it is "Plant small nucleolar RNA R71". It matches the Rfam family "Plant small nucleolar RNA R71". Rfam says of the family: R71 is a member of the C/D box family of snoRNAs containing the C (UGAUGA) and D (CUGA) box motifs. Multiple nearly identical copies of this snoRNA have been identified in Arabidopsis, and it is thought to function as a 2'-O-ribose methylation guide for 18S ribosomal RNA. Lineage: Eukaryota; Viridiplantae; Streptophyta; Magnoliopsida; Poales; Poaceae. The record is from Rfam by way of RNAcentral.